GCCAGGCGUGGUGGCGCACGCCUGUAAUCCCAGCACUUUGGGAGGCCGAGGUGGGUGGAUCACCUGAGGUCAGGAGUUUGAGACCAGCCUGACCAACAUGGUGAAACCCCAUCUCUA
Molecule: signal recognition particle RNA, 117 nt
Filed under: Macaca fascicularis (crab-eating macaque)
Lineage: Eukaryota; Metazoa; Chordata; Mammalia; Primates; Cercopithecidae
Description: Metazoan signal recognition particle RNA (ENSMFAG00000056509.1)
Rfam family: Metazoan signal recognition particle RNA
About the family: The signal recognition particle (SRP) is a universally conserved ribonucleoprotein.
Source: Rfam by way of RNAcentral